AUACUUACUUGGCAGGGGAGAUACCAUGAUCAUGAAGGUGGUUUUUCCAGGGUGAGGCUCAUUCAUUGCAAUCCGAUGUGCUGACCCCUGUGAUUUCCCCAAAUGUGGGAAACUCGAUUGCAUAAUUUGUGGUAGAGGGGACUGAAAAAAAAAAAUUAACACACCAUCACCCCAC
RNAcentral lists this small nuclear RNA (175 nucleotides) under Zalophus californianus (California sea lion). RNAcentral describes it as "U1 spliceosomal RNA (ENSZCAG00015016699.1)". It matches the Rfam family "U1 spliceosomal RNA". From Rfam's summary of the family: U1 is a small nuclear RNA (snRNA) component of the spliceosome (involved in pre-mRNA splicing). Its 5' end forms complementary base pairs with the 5' splice junction, thus defining the 5' donor site of an intron. Lineage: Eukaryota; Metazoa; Chordata; Mammalia; Carnivora; Otariidae. The record is from RNAcentral.